Molecule: transfer RNA, 77 nt
Filed under: Corynebacterium crudilactis
Lineage: Bacteria; Bacillati; Actinomycetota; Actinomycetes; Mycobacteriales; Corynebacteriaceae
Description: tRNA-Leu
Rfam family: tRNA
About the family: Transfer RNA (tRNA) molecules are approximately 80 nucleotides in length. Their secondary structure includes four short double-helical elements and three loops (D, anti-codon, and T loops).
Source: RNAcentral
GCCCUUGUAGCCCAAUUGGCAGAGGCAACGGAUUCAAAACCCGUCCAGUGUCGGUUCGAGUCCGACCAGGGGCACCA